Molecule: ribosomal RNA, 116 nt
Filed under: Labrus bergylta (ballan wrasse)
Lineage: Eukaryota; Metazoa; Chordata; Actinopteri; Labriformes; Labridae
Source: RNAcentral
GCUUACGCCAUACCACCCUGAACACGCCCGAUCUCUCCGAUCUCGGAAGCUAAGCAGGGUCGGGCCUGGUUAGUACUUGGAUGGAGACCGCCUGGGAAUACCAGGUGCUGUAAGCU